Non-coding RNA from Sus scrofa (pig), 2542 nucleotides. The record is from RefSeq and is a predicted model, not a curated record. NCBI's taxonomy places the organism in Eukaryota, Metazoa, Chordata, Mammalia, Artiodactyla, Suidae.
AAAAUAAAAUCAGAACAAAAUGUAUACAUGUUACAAAAUGGCAAAAGAUAAAUAAUAUGAAAACAUCAUAUUACGGGAAAAUGCAAUUACUACAGAUAAAGAACAAGAAGUCCUUGGGGACAUUUAUGUGGCCAUGCUCUGUUUAGACUGUUCAUAUCCAGGAGCAGGGCUAUGAGAAGGAAGUUGACUAUAAGAGCCCUCAUGGUAACAUCCGAGGGGACAAAAAUGUCCUGUGUUAUAAUUGGGGGAGUGGUUACCUGAGUCUAUGCUUUUGUGAAAAUUCUUCAAAUUAAUGAAUUUUAUUGUAUGUAAAUGAUACCUUAAAAAGUUGAUUUUUUUUUUUUUUUUGAAAGAAAGGGAGGUGGGAGGGAAGAUGGAAGGACAGACAAAUCAAGUCAAGAAACGAAUUGUGCCUCUCAGGGUAAUGUAAAUCUUUGAAGAAAAAGUAGAGCAAUGGCAGCGCUGACCUCUGCAUUUCUGCCACAUCAGACUAUACUGCAUGUCCCAACACAAUGGCGCUGGUGGAAUGUUCUAAGAAGGCAAGAAAUGUCUUCUAUUCCUGGCUUGCACCCUCCCUGAAAGCUCCUUCUCCCCACUGAGUGUGAAGGCAGAAAUAAACAGACUAAUCCAGAGAGAAGAGAGAGCCCUUCCUCUAGCCAACCUAGAAUGCGGGUGACUGGGGAGUGGGUCACCCCCAAUUCCUUUCCAAGGGGCACAUGGCAAAUCAGUACCAACCAGGCUGGUGAUAAAGCCCCCAGGCUGGUGGAUCUGUGCCCUGAAGUCCUGCAAAGAUGAACCUGGAUAAGAAAAAGUAGGGCAGCAUUUAAAAGUGAAAUCACUGGUCUUUAUCAGUCACAGGGAGGCCGAGGCCAAAUCCGAGGGACCAGUGUGCACCACAGAGUUGGAAAGGCCUCUUCUGCUAAAAGGCACCAGGCCAACUUCAGCCAAAGCUGCGGACCUCCCAGAAAGGGCUCUGAGGCCCUGCCUAGAGGGAACAAAGCCGCAAAAGUAAAGCACAGGGCUGGUGCCUUGUUUCCAGGGAACAACAGGAUGAGGUGGUUCCAGUGGGGGUUUCUUUUGCUUCCUGAACCUGUUUUCCCUUCUGCUGCGCCCCAAAUCUGAGUAGCAGCCAGCCCCAUGCCCGCGAUCCCCUUCCCGCUCCAGCCUCCUCCCAUCACCCCACUGUCCCAAUGUGUCUGGUGCUCCUAUCGGGUCCUGCUCCGUGGGGCAUGGCCUUGUUGUCCUAAUACUUGGGCAUAAACUUCGUAAGGCUCCACCCACGUGAUAUGGUCUCGACCAAUCAAAGAAACACACUCGGCCUCCGAGAUUUCUUUCAUUGUCUGAAUUUCUAAGCACUGAGACCACACCUUUCUCUUCCACUUUCUUUAGGAGCUUGGUAGUUGACUUCCUGGGGCUGGGAAGGCCCUGGCCUGAGUUCCCAGACUUCAGCUCCCCUCUGGGCCUCUGACCUCCGAGGUAGCUCUCCCACCCCCUGCUUUCACGUGCCCGGUCUGCCCAGUGUGACCGGGCUGUGCCAGCGGGCAUAGGUCUGCCUCUGACUAAAUGUGCUUCAAGUUAAAGGCACUGUUUUAUUUACUGGGAUGCCUGGUUCCCCAAGGCUUGUAACCUCAUCUUCCUUUCUAACGACCCCAGGACCUGGCCCAGACCUGGCCGCAUCAAUACCGACUGCUGAUUGAGGAUGAUGUGAUGAUUUGGAACCCGGAAAAGCAGAGGGGGCUGGGCCCGGUGGCACUGACCGUUUGCAGCAGAUCAUUUGCCCACUCUAGGGGAACUCAUUCCUGGUUUUGGCCAAAUGGUGCUGCUCACUCUUCAUAGAUGUUCCAUCACUUCUUGGAAGACUGCAUUUCCUAACCUCCCUGGCAGAGGAAUGCACUUGAGAAUAGAAAAUGGGCUGCAGGAACCACAGCCUUGUGGACAUCUGAGGAAUGCUCCCUUCUGGCCUGCUUGACUCUUGAGCCUGGGUUUGGGUUUUGUAAGUGCAGCUGGAACAUGGUGUUAGGCAUUAGCUGCUUCAUGCUGGGCUCCAGCUGUCAGUUGGGGCCCCAUGGGGUGUGGAGGGAGCUACAUGGACAUGUGGUGCAGAGCCCACAGGGUGAGUGGUGCUGAUUUUGAUCAUUUGCCUCGUGCAGCUAUGCUGCCUGCGUUACAAAGCUGAGGGUGAACAUGGGUGGUAGCUGGGAAAUGAUGGGCUUUAUCUAUAAGAGAGAGUAGAUGAAGAAAACAACUCAGCAGUAAAAUCCACACUCCUAACCAGGGCACUCUGCCCACUCCCUCUGUGUUCAAACAAAUCACCUGCCAGACUUCCCGCUCAACCUGUCUUGGGCACGCUGAUCUGCUUGCUGUUUUCCCAACAUAUCCAACUUGGAUCUGCCACAGGACCUUUGCACUUUCUAUUCUCCCUGAAACACUCUUCCAUGGGACCUUCAUGGAGUAAAUUUCCCAACUCUAAAGAGGCACCUUCUCCAAUUACUGCUUUCCUCCGAGGCUAUCCUCUGAAUAUGAUAAGCUUACUCAAAGUGGC